UACGUAGGGUGCAAGCGUUGUCCGGAAUUAUUGGGCGUAAAGAGCUCGUAGGCGGUCUGUCACGUCGGCUGUGAAAACUCGGGGCUCAACCCCGAGCCUGCAGUCGGAUACGGGCAGACUAGAGGUCCGGCAGGGGAGACUGGAAUUCCUGGUGUAGCGGUGGAAUGCGCAGAUAUCAGGAGGAACACCGAUGGCGAAGGCAGAUCUCUGGGCCGUUACUGACGCUGGAGGAGCGAAAGCCGUGGGGAGCGAACAGG
This 257-nucleotide ribosomal RNA is filed under the name uncultured bacterium. RNAcentral describes it as "partial 16S ribosomal RNA". It matches the Rfam family "Bacterial small subunit ribosomal RNA", at positions 524 to 776 of the family's 1533-position model. The record is from RNAcentral.